Molecule: ribosomal RNA, 500 nt
Filed under: uncultured bacterium
Lineage: Bacteria
Description: bacterial SSU rRNA
Rfam family: Bacterial small subunit ribosomal RNA
Source: RNAcentral
AGAGUUUGAUCAUGGCUCAGAUUGAACGCUGGCGGCAUGCUUUACACAUGCAAGUCGAACGGGCUGUUGGGGCAACCUGGCAGUCAGUGGCGGACGGGUGAGUAAUGCAUCGGAACGUGUCCCAUAGUGGGGGAUAACCCGGCGAAAGCCGGACUAAUACCGCAUAAGCUCUAUGGAGGAAAGCGGGGGACCUGAAAGGGCCUCGUGCUUUGGGAGCGGCCGAUGUCCGAUUAGCUUGUUGGUGGGGUAAUGGCCUACCAAGGCGACGAUCGGUAGCUGGUCUGAGAGGAUGAUCAGCCACACUGGGACUGAGACACGGCCCAGACUCCUACGGGAGGCAGCAGUGGGGAAUAUUGGACAAUGGGCGAAAGCCUGAUCCAGCGACGCCGCGUGGGUGAAGAAGGCCUGCGGGUUGUAAAGCCCUUUCGGUAGGGACGAAAGCUCUCGACUUAAUACGUCGGGAGGUUGACUUAACCUACAUAAGAAGCACCGGCUAACUC